Molecule: long non-coding RNA, 534 nt
Organism: Bombus terrestris (buff-tailed bumblebee)
Lineage: Eukaryota; Metazoa; Arthropoda; Insecta; Hymenoptera; Apidae
Exons: 2
Source: RefSeq, a predicted model, not a curated record
CUGGGGAUUUCUGCAAUACUUCCAGUUGUUUGUAUCUGAAAAACUGGUAGAAUUCAUUGUUGAAAAAACAAACAACUAUUGGAGACAAAUAAAUUCUGAUGACCUUACAGCUGGAACAGACCUGAAUGAAUUUUUUGUAGCGACACAUGAGUCAGAAGAUAAUUCAAAUCAUGUUGUUGUUUUGCCUCGGAGUAUCAAAAUCGUUAGGAUACAAGUAAUGUAAGAACAAAUAAACUCUGGACAAAACAAUGUCGCCGCUACAUGCAACCGUCGAAUGAAGACGAAUUCAAAUUUUCCGACUUCCCCUCGACCAGUAUAAAUAAACGGACGCGAUCGCGAGCAGAGAGUACAUACCGAAUAUCUAACAGUAUCUACAGUAUAUCCGAGUAUCACGAGUAUCUAUGAAUUGCGCGAUGAGCAUUAACGAGUAUUUAUCCGUGAUUUUAUUUUGUGAUUUAUACUUUGUACUAACGACUCAUGUAUACAGGUUGUACAUUAAUUUAUUAUUUUAAAUAUAUUCGACGGUUUCAACAA